This 253-nucleotide ribosomal RNA is filed under the name uncultured bacterium. RNAcentral describes it as "partial 16S ribosomal RNA". It matches the Rfam family "Bacterial small subunit ribosomal RNA", at positions 524 to 776 of the family's 1533-position model. The record is from RNAcentral.
GACGGAAGGUGCAAGCGUUGCUCGGAAUCACUGGGCGUAAAGGGUGCGUAGGCGGCUUCUUAAGUCUGGUGUGAAAGCCCAGGGCUCAGCUCUGGAAGUGCACUAGAUACUGGGAAGCUUGAGUACCGGAGGGGAGAGUGGAAUUCCUGGUGUAGCGGUGAAAUGCGUAGAUAUCAGGAGGAAUACCGGUGGCGAAGGCGGGUCUCUGGGCCGAAAUUGACGCUGAGGAGCGAAAGCGUGGGGAGCAAACAGG